Molecule: ribosomal RNA, 390 nt
Filed under: uncultured bacterium
Lineage: Bacteria
Description: bacterial SSU rRNA
Rfam family: Bacterial small subunit ribosomal RNA
Source: RNAcentral
GACGAACGCUGGCGGCGUGCUUAACACAUGCAAGUCGAGCGGUAAGGCCCUUUCGGGGGUACACGAGCGGCGAACGGGUGAGUAACACGUGGGUGACCUGCCCUCAGCUCUGGGAUAAGCCUGGGAAACCGGGUCUAAUACUGGAUAUGACUCCAUGACGCAUGUUGUGGGGUGGAAAGCCUUGUGCGGCUGAGGAUGGGCCCGCGGCCUAUCAGCUUGUUGGUGGGGUGANGGCCUACCAAGGCGACGACGGGUAGCCGGCCUGAGAGGGCGACCGGCCACACUGGGACUGAGACACGGGCCCAGACUCCUACGGGAGGGCAGCAGUGGGGAAUCUUGCGCAAUGGGCGAAAGCCUGACGCAGCGACGCCGCGUGAGGGAUGACGGCCU